GCGGUGGCGUCUGGUGUGGAGUUCGGGCUUCAAGACCA
This 38-nucleotide transfer RNA is filed under the name uncultured eukaryote. RNAcentral's name for it is "partial Selenocysteine transfer RNA". The record is from RNAcentral.